GACGAACGCUGGCGGCGUGCUUAACACAUGCAAGUCGAGCGGUAAGGCCCUUUCGGGGGUACACGAGCGGCGAACGGGUGAGUAACACGUGGGUGACCUGCCCUCAGCUCUGGGAUAAGCCUGGGAAACCGGGUCUAAUACUGGAUAUGACUCCAUGACGCAUGUUGUGGGGUGGAAAGCCUUGUGCGGCUGAGGAUGGGCCCGCGGCCUAUCAGCUUGUUGGUGGGGUGAUGGCCUACCAAGGCGACGACGGGUAGCCGGCCUGAGAGGGCGACCGGCCACACUGAGACUGAGACACGGCCCAGACUCCUACGGGAGGCAGCAGUGGGGAAUCUUGCGCAAUGGGCGAAAGCCUGACGCAGCGACGCCGCGUGA
This 375-nucleotide ribosomal RNA is filed under the name uncultured bacterium. Its description in RNAcentral is "bacterial SSU rRNA". It matches the Rfam family "Bacterial small subunit ribosomal RNA", at positions 28 to 404 of the family's 1533-position model. The record is from RNAcentral.